RNAcentral lists this ribosomal RNA (489 nucleotides) under uncultured bacterium. RNAcentral describes it as "partial 16S ribosomal RNA". It matches the Rfam family "Bacterial small subunit ribosomal RNA", at positions 29 to 507 of the family's 1533-position model. The record is from RNAcentral.
AUGAACGCUAGCUACAGGCUUAACACAUGCAAGUCGCGGGGCAGCAUGGGGGUUGCUUGCAAUCCCCGAUGGCGACCGGCGCACGGGUGAGUAACGCGUAUCCAACCUGCCCUUCACCACGGGAUAACCCGGCGAAAGUCGGACUAAUACCGUAUGUUGUCCAUUGACGGCAUCCGAUUUGGACGAAAGGUUUGGCGGUGAAGGAUGGGGAUGCGUCCGAUUAGCUGGACGGCGGGGUGACGGCCCACCGUGGCGACGAUCGGUAGGGGUUCUGAGAGGAAGGUCCCCCACACGGGAACUGAGACACGGUCCAGACUCCUACGGGAGGCAGCAGUGAGGAAUAUUGGUCAAUGGGCGUAAGCCUGAACCAGCCAAGUAGCGUGCAGGAUGACGGCCCUAUGGGUUGUAAACUGCUUUUAUGCGGGGAUAAAGUGGCCCACGUGUGGGUUUUUGCAGGUACCGCAUGAAUAAGGACCGGCUAAUUCCGUG